Molecule: ribosomal RNA, 116 nt
Filed under: Bos indicus x Bos taurus (hybrid cattle)
Lineage: Eukaryota; Metazoa; Chordata; Mammalia; Artiodactyla; Bovidae
Source: RNAcentral
GGCUCCGGCCACAUCAGCCUGAAGGCGCCCGAUCUCGUCUGAUCUCGGAAGCUAAGCAGGGUCGGGCCUGCUUAGUAUAAAAAAAAAAAAAAAAAAAAGAACUGGACAUGGAACAA